This is a microRNA precursor of Oryza sativa Indica Group (long-grained rice), 158 nucleotides long. It matches the Rfam family "MIR812 microRNA precursor family", at positions 27 to 181 of the family's 205-position model. Lineage: Eukaryota; Viridiplantae; Streptophyta; Magnoliopsida; Poales; Poaceae. The record is from Rfam.
UACAACAUUUGACUCUUCGUCUUAUUUAAAACUUUUCUAUGAUUAAUAAUAAUAAUAUUAUUAUUAGAUAAUAGAACAUGAAAAGGACUUUAUGCGUGACUAAUAUUUUUAAUUUUUUUAUAUUUUUUUCAAAUAGGACGGGUGGUAAAUGUUGGACA